Molecule: ribosomal RNA, 1062 nt
Filed under: Histiotus macrotus (big-eared brown bat)
Lineage: Eukaryota; Metazoa; Chordata; Mammalia; Chiroptera; Vespertilionidae
Description: partial 16S ribosomal RNA
Rfam family: Bacterial large subunit ribosomal RNA (bases 157-1008)
Source: RNAcentral
AACCAAAAAUAGCUCAAAAAAUAACACAACUAAAUUAAUAAUACAACUUUAAAUAAAACAUUAAAUUUAAUUAAAGUAUCGGCGAUAGAAAUUUUAUCUGACGCUAUAGAAAAAGUACCGCAAGGGAAAAAAUGAAAGAAAAUGUAAGUAAAAAACAGCAAAGUUUAAUACUUGUACCUUUUGCAUAAUGACUCAACUAGAAAAUAUUAGCAAAAUGAACUGAAGUUAAGUGGCCCGAAACCAGACGAGCUACCUAUUUGGCAGCACACAGAGCAAACCCGUCUAUGUGGCAAAAUAGUGGGAUGACUACUAGGUAGUGGUGACAAGCCUAUCGAGCCUGGUGAUAGCUGGUUGUCCAGAACAGAAUUUUAGUUCUAAUUUAAGACUGCAAAAAAAUAAAUGAAUUGAAAUGUAGACUUAAAGGAUAAUCUAAAAGGGUACAGCCUUUUAGACCAGGGAAACAACCCUUAUUAGAGAGUAAGAAAUUAAUCAAACCACGAUAGUUGGCCUAAAAGCAGCCACCAAAUAAGAAAGCGUUCAAGCCCAACCGCACUUAAAAUUAAUUCCAACAACAAACUCAAUACCCCUAACAUAAAACUGGACUAUUCUAUUUACAAAUAGAAGCAACAAUGUUGAUAUGAGUAACAAGAAAUAAUUCUCCUCGCACAUGUGUAUACCAGAACGAAUAACUCACUGGUAGUUAUCAAAACAAAUACAACUAGUUAACCAAAUUAUUAUUAUUAAUUGUUAGUCCAACACAGGAGUGCAGUCAGGGAAAGAUCUAAAAAAGUAAAAGGAACUCGGCAAACACAAAUCCCGCCUGUUUACCAAAAACAUCACCUCUAGCAUAAAAAGUAUUAGAGGCACCGCCUGCCCAGUGACCUUAGUUUAACGGCCGCGGUAUUCUGACCGUGCAAAGGUAGCAUAAUCACUUGUUCUCUAAAUAGGGACUCGUAUGAACGGCUCCACGAGGAUUUUGCUGUCUCUUACUUUAAAUCAGUGAAAUUGACAUUCCCGUGAAGAGGCGGGGAUUAAAAAACAAGACGAGAAGACCCUAUGGAA